CCUACGGGAGGCAGCAGUGAGGAAUAUUGGUCAAUGGACGAGAGCCUGAACCAGCCAAGUAGCGUGAAGGAUGACUGCCCUAUGGGUUGUAAACUUCUUUUAUAUGGGAAUAAAAUGUUCCACGUGUGGGAUUUUGUAUGUACCAUAUGAAUAAGAAUCGGCUAACUCCGUGCCAGCAGCCGCGGUAAUACGGAGGAUCCGAGCGUUAUCCGGAUUUAUUGGGUUUAAAGGGAGCGUAGGUGGAUUGUUAAGUCAGUUGUGAAAGUUUGCGGCUCAACCGUAAAAUUGCAGUUGAAACUGGCAGUCUUGAGUACAGUAGAGGUGGGCGGAAUUCGUGGUGUAGCGGUGAAAUGCUUAGAUAUCACGAAGAACUCCGAUUGCGAAGGCAGCUCACUGGACUGCAACUGACACUGAGGCUCGAAAGUGUGGGUAUCAAACAGGAUUAGAUACCCUUGUAGUC
RNAcentral lists this ribosomal RNA (460 nucleotides) under uncultured bacterium. RNAcentral describes it as "partial 16S ribosomal RNA". It matches the Rfam family "Bacterial small subunit ribosomal RNA", at positions 338 to 795 of the family's 1533-position model. The record is from RNAcentral.